RNAcentral lists this ribosomal RNA (407 nucleotides) under uncultured bacterium. Its description in RNAcentral is "partial 16S ribosomal RNA". It matches the Rfam family "Bacterial small subunit ribosomal RNA", at positions 30 to 526 of the family's 1533-position model. The record is from RNAcentral.
AUUGAACGCUGGCGGCAGGCCUAACACAUGCAAGUCGAGCGGAGCGGCGGACGGGUGAGUAAUGCCUAGGACUCUGCCAGGUAGUGGGGGAUAACGUUCGGACACGGGCGCUAAUACCGCAUACUAUCAGAUUAGCCUAGGUUGGAUUAGCAAGUUGGUGGGGUAAAGGCCUACCAAGGCGACGAUCCGUAGCUGGUCUGAGAGGAUGAUAAGUCACACGGGAACUGAGACACGGUCCAGACUCCUACGGGAGGCAGCAGGGGGGAAUAUUGGACAAUGGGCGAAAGCCUGAUGCAGCCAUGCCGCGUGUGUGAAGAAGGUCUUCGGAUUGUAAAGCACUUUAAGUUGGGAGGCGUUACCAACAGAAUAAGCACCGGCUAACUUCGUGCCAGCAGCCGCGGUAAUUC